Long non-coding RNA from Neofelis nebulosa (Clouded leopard), 3028 nucleotides. RefSeq lists it as uncharacterized. The record is from RefSeq and is a predicted model, not a curated record. NCBI's taxonomy places the organism in Eukaryota, Metazoa, Chordata, Mammalia, Carnivora, Felidae. The transcript has 2 exons.
AAUUUGUUUGGCCUUCUCUAGGCUGACCGGGCUUCCCUAGCCUGUUGGAAGAUCCCAUGUGGAACCAUUAGACAGAAUGAAAACUCAGGAUAUUCCUUUGCUUCCGAGUUGUUGGAAAUUUAGGUUGUAACUAAAUGGGAUGUUUUCUUUUUCCAUCCUCUUUGUUUCUUUUUAACGUCUAUAGGUGCAGAAUAGGGAUACCAUUGAUGUCAUGCAAUUUAUUCUUCUUUGUUAAGGUGGUUAUAUUAAAUACAGUUAGUUCUGCUAUAACAUGACUUAAGCGUUCCUGAAAAACACGAUGCUACACAAAAUUGUUGAAUAAAAGCCGUAGAACUUAUGGGGAAAAAAUGAAGUUAGGUACACAACAAUCAAAACUGUUGGGGGCGCCUGCGUGGCUCAUUCAGUUAAGCGUCUGACUUCGGCUCGGGUCAUGAUCUUACGGUUUGUGGGUUCGAGCCCCGCGUCGUGCUCUGUGCUGACAGCUCAGAGCCUGGGAGCCUGCUUGGGAUUCUGUCUCCUUCUCUCUCUGCCCCUUCCCCGCUUGCAGUGUGUCUGUCUCUCUCUCAAAAAUAAAUAAGCAUUAAAAAAAAAUUGACAUUGAUACUUCAUGGCCAUGUAAUCCUUGAGUCCCCAUUAGAGUGUUGCCAAUUGCCCCAAUAAUGUCUUUUAUAUCAAAAUAAUUAACAGUUCAGUUCAUGGGGUGCCUGGGUGGCUCAGUCGAUUACAUGUUCGACUUCGACUCGGGCCAUGAUCUCUCGGUUUGUGAGUUCGAGCCCCGCGUCGGGCUCUGUGCUGGCAGCUCGGAGCCUGGAGCCUGCUUCGGAUUCUGUGUUUCCCUCUCUCUCUGCUCCUCCCCCACUCGCACUCUGUCCUCUGUCUCUGUCUCUGUCUCUCUCUCUCUCAAAAAUAAACAUAAAAAAUUUAAAAAAAUAGUUCAGCUCAGAAUCACUUCUUUUACUUUCUGGCAUGACAACGUGUUCUAGGCACAUUUGUGCCUUCCUUAUCCCAGAUCUGGAAUCAGCUCUUUCGCCAAAGAAUCCUGAUUCUUUUUGGUGGAGGAUCGAUAUGUAGAAGCGAAGAUCCAGGUCCUUUGUGCCCUCACUGCUAUUGGAGUGUCCAGGCUUCUUGCCUCAGUGUAUAAAUCUAUGGAAUAUGUGUAUGUGGACACAUACCCACAUUGGCAUCUAUAUUUCUACAUGCAUGUAAAUGGAAAGUUGUGACUUCACAUCACUACCUGCCAUUUACAGCUAACACCUCAGGGUUCAUUCUAGUUUUCUCCCUCUCCAUAUUUGUAAUUCCUUCCUUUGGCGGUGAGAAUCCCAGCUCCCGUUUUUCUUAAUAUAUUUACUUAAUUGAUCAAUUCUUUGUAUGCACCUUGCUGCUUUAUCCCCAGUCCCUGUUUGGACAUCCUUCUUACCCCAAACAGUUCAGUUCUCUUUGCUGGGCUUUCCUCCUCCGUCCUUAUCCCACUUAAGCUCUCAUGCUCUGCACCAGCCUCUCCGCCAGCGUGGGUGCCCUCUUUGCCCCACGUGGGUUCUGACACCGUGGACUGGACUGCUUGCUCCUCCCUGGGCAGACACUCCUCUCAGCCCUGCUUGGGCUGUGGCACCCCAACUCUGGCAUCCCCCUCUUUCUGCUGAGUGCCCUCUUCACCCUUCCUGGUUCUGACACUGCAUUCAGGACAGCCCUCGUCCCGCAGUGCUCAGGCCUCCAUCCGUGGCCCGCGUUGUGUUCCCCCCACCCCCAGACACCUCAGCACAGACCCCUUCCGAGCUCAGUCCCACCUAACGGCUUUAGGACUGAAGUGUUUUGGAAGAAAAGGAUUGACUUGUUUCAGAAGGGGUCUACAUAAAACUUUUUGCUAAGUAAAUUCACAUUUUGGGGGGAAAAUUGUUCACCCGGGGCCAUGUCACCUAGAUCAUUUUCUGUGUCUCUCGGUGCACAGGAUCAUUCUUGAUUUCUUCCUACGGGCUGCCCGUUUUUAACUAACCAGAGGGUGAAGUCUGUAGCCCACGUAAUUCUGAUGAGUCUUUUUUUUUUUUUCCUCCCCUCUUCAGACUUCCCUGUGAUAUAGAUGGGGACUGUAGUGUUUGAGAAAGCCUGCUUUCCAGAAGUGACGGUCUUGGUCCGUAGUUUGCAUUUCUGUGUCUCCCCUUCUAGCUCAGUGGCCCAUCCUCCCCUCUCCCACCAUGACAGUGGCAGCAGGUGCUGUCCCCUUUGGCUGAGCCCUCUCUGUAGGUGUUUUGCAUGUGUUACCCUAUUAAAACGCCCUACCUCUGUGAGAUGUACGGGUUUUACAGGUGAGGAAACCAAGGGUGGGAGGGGUUAAAUAAUUUGUUCAAGGUCACAUAACUUGUAAGAGGUUAGCAGUAUAAUUUGAAUCCAAGCCUGCUUUUUUCCUAGAGCCUAUCCUCGUGACUGUGUGAUGCUGCCUCUGUAGGAUUAGGAUAAAUUUGAGGAGGCUGAAUUUUUCAAUCCCUGUUUUUGAUUCCUUUUGAUUUAGGAAGAGGAAGCAUAAGCUCUUGAAAGUUAUAGUUGGAAGAAGAAAAAUAGACGCCAUUAGCUGCCUGGAAACAGUGCCACUUAAAUGCUGGCAUUCCUGGAAUGGGCCCAAAGGAGUGGCUACAUAUACGGAACAUAACAGGAUGGAAGAAUUACAACAUAAAAGAGUGGGAGAGGAUAUUCAAGAUGACUGGAAUGACCUCUGUAUAUUACAGGUGGGGAAAUGGAAUUUUAGAGAUGGUGAAGGAUUUAUGCAGUCUCCCAGGCAAUACCAAGACUAGAACUCAUUUCUUGUCCAGUUAUUAAACCAAGGAUUUUCAUAAAGGUGGCAUUGGAUGAUGAUGAUAUGACAAUAGCAGGAUUUUUUUUUUUUUUUUUGGUGGGGGCGAGGCUGAGAGAGGCUUGUGUAUAAAUAGAAAAAGCACACUCAACACACCUAUUGUUUUUAUAGUGCAGACUACAGUGAAUAAGUUAAAAAAAAACAAAAAAACUUGGCAGAUGGGAAUACACCGAAGAUAGUGAGAAA